UACGUAGGGGGCGAGCGUUGUCCGGAGUUACUGGGCGUAAAGCGCACGCAGGCGGUGCUGCGCGUUUGGGGUUACAGCUCCCGGCUCAACCGGGAGAGCGCCUCGAAGACGGCAGCACUUGAGGGCCAGAGAGGGACACGGAACUCCGGGUGGAGUGGUGAAAUGCGUAGAUAUCCGGAAGAACACCAAAGGCGAAGGCAGUGUCCUGGCGAGUAUCCUGACGCUGAGGUGCGAAAGCCAGGGGAGCGAACGGG
RNAcentral lists this ribosomal RNA (254 nucleotides) under uncultured bacterium. RNAcentral describes it as "partial 16S ribosomal RNA". It matches the Rfam family "Bacterial small subunit ribosomal RNA", at positions 524 to 776 of the family's 1533-position model. The record is from RNAcentral.